RNAcentral lists this transfer RNA (77 nucleotides) under Gammaproteobacteria bacterium. Its description in RNAcentral is "tRNA-Pro". It matches the Rfam family "tRNA". Rfam says of the family: Transfer RNA (tRNA) molecules are approximately 80 nucleotides in length. The record is from RNAcentral. RNAcentral also lists the same sequence under 1 other name. Lineage: Bacteria; Pseudomonadati; Pseudomonadota; Gammaproteobacteria.
CGGGGUAUGGCGCAGUCUGGUAGCGCAUCUGCUUUGGGAGCAGAGGGUCGGGGGUUCGAAUCCCUCUGCCCCGACCA